GACGAACGCUGGCGGCGUGCUUAACACAUGCAAGUCGAACGGGUCUGCCCUGUUUUUUGCGGGGUGGGUCAGUGGCGAACGGGUGAGUAACACGUGAGUAACCUGCCCCUCACUUCUGGAUAACCGCUUGAAAGGGUGGCUAAUACGGGGUGUUCUGGCUGUGCCGCAUGGUGUGGCUGGGAAAGAUUCACUUUUGUGGUGUUUUGGUGGGGGAUGGGCUCGCGGCCUAUCAGCUUGUUGGUGGGGUGAUGGCCUGCCAAGGCUUUGACGGGUAGCCGGCCUGAGAGGGUGGGCGGUCACACUGGGACUGAGAUACUGCCCAGACUCCUGCGGGAGGCAGCAGUGGGGGGUAUUGCACAAUGGGCGGAAGCCUGAUGCAGCGACGUCGCGUGAGGGAUGGAGGCCUUCGGGUUGUGAACCUCUUUCGCCGGUGAAGAAGGUCCUGCUCUUUGUGGUGGGGUUGACGGUAGCCGGGUUAUGAAGCGCCGGCUAACUACGUG
This 500-nucleotide ribosomal RNA is filed under the name uncultured bacterium. RNAcentral describes it as "partial 16S ribosomal RNA". It matches the Rfam family "Bacterial small subunit ribosomal RNA", at positions 28 to 507 of the family's 1533-position model. The record is from RNAcentral.